GCUCAGGACGAACGCUGGCGGCGUGCUUAACACAUGCAAGUCGAACGAUGAACCCGCUUCGGUGGGGGAUUAGUGGCGAACGGGUGAGUAACACGUGGGCAAUCUGCCCUGCACUCUGGGACAAGCCCUGGAAACGGGGUCUAAUACCGGAUACUGAUCUGCCUGGGCAUCCAGGCGGUUCGAAAGCUCCGGCGGUGCAGGAUGAGCCCGCGGCCUAUCAGCUUGUUGGUGAGGUAAUGGCUCACCAAGGCGACGACGGGUAGCCGGCCUGAGAGGGCGACCGGCCACACUGGGACUGAGACACGGCCCAGACUCCUACGGGAGGCAGCAGUGGGGAAUAUUGCACAAUGGGCGAAAGCCUGAUGCAGCGACGCCGCGUGAGGGAUGACGGCCUUCGGGUUGUAAACCUCUUUCAGCAGGGAAGAAGCGAAAGUGACGGUACCUGCAGAAGAAGCGCCGGCUAACUACGUGCCAGCAGCCGCGGUAAUACGUAGGGCGCGAGCGUUGUCCGGAAUUAUUGGGCGUAAAGAGCUCGUAGGCGGCUUGUCACGUCGGUUGUGAAAGCCCGGGGCUUAACCCCGGGUCUGCAGUCGAUACGGGCAGGCUAGAGUUCGGUAGGGGAGAUCGGAAUUCCUGGUGUAGCGGUGAAAUGCGCAGAUAUCAGGAGGAACACCGGUGGCGAAGGCGGAUCUCUGGGCCGAUACUGACGCUGAGGAGCGAAAGCGUGGGGAGCGAACAGGAUUAGAUACCCUGGUAGUCCACGCCGUAAACGGUGGGCACUA
This 782-nucleotide ribosomal RNA is filed under the name Streptomyces sp. CB169. Its description in RNAcentral is "bacterial SSU rRNA". It matches the Rfam family "Bacterial small subunit ribosomal RNA", at positions 22 to 818 of the family's 1533-position model. Lineage: Bacteria; Bacillati; Actinomycetota; Actinomycetes; Kitasatosporales; Streptomycetaceae. RNAcentral also lists the same sequence under 1 other name. The record is from RNAcentral.